ACACUCGUGGGGUCCUCUUCACACUGAGUAGGAGCGUGGUGGCCACAGGCAGUCCCGCUCCCUCCCAGGCCACAGCACCAGAGGGGCGGCGUCCCAGCGGCUCCUGGUGGGCUGGCUACUGGGCUCCUUCUUCUGUCAUCCGCCCUGCAGGUUAGAUCAGAGGCCCACACAAGAAAGGACAGCCUCGAGUGCCACCGUCUGUCCCUUUGGACAUGUUCAACAAGACAGGGGGAUUUAAAACACAUCACCUCCAGCUGAAAUGGGUUCUGGUAAAUUUCUCGAGCGCUCUCGCGGAUCUCACGUCAUCCUCUGGGUUCAGGGUCAACACUACAUUAAUGACCCACCAUUUAUCCACCGGGCACACACACCAAUGCCCGCCAACCUCGUCGUAGGAACAGAGCUACUCUUCCAGAAUGUCCACCAUAUAUAUGUGUGACAUCACUGGUCUGAUACCAUGACUCUUCUAUACAUGUUAGAAGACACCAUUGCCGCGAUGAAAACUGUGUACCUAUGAGCUGUGGGAGGUCGCCGUCAGUACCACGGCUGGCAGCACGCCUAGGAAACAAUGAUCUCUGCUAACUGUCUUCUCAAAGACCCGAAUCAAAACUCACCUCCUCUAGGAAACCUUCUCUGAUUUGCUUUUCACCCGGUUUUAGAGAUGCCUUUGUGAUAAGCUCUUGCGUGCUUAAUUUACACCUUUGCCUGUCCAUGUUCUCAAUUCACCCCCAUCUAGACUUUCAACACCAGCACUAGAUCAUACAACACCAAAAGCCAGAGAUCUUGUCUUGUUCCUUUUAUUCCCUCCCAUAGGCCCAACUACACCACAGCAAACAUUUGCUGAAUUGAUAAGGUUUAAAUGAACGAAAGGUGCCCACCAAAUGCUUACAGUUAUCUUUUUAUCAUCUGUGUUCUAAAUAGAGAGAAACCCACCCACAUCAUUUCCUAGUCUAUACGGUGUGGCCGCAACAGCCUGAUUCAGAUGUCAACCAGUGGGAAGGAUGGUUUGUUACAAUAAGACAGGUGCUGAGCGCCUGGGUGGCUCGGUUGGUUAAGUGACUGCCUUUGGGUCAAGUCAUGAACCCAGGGGUCCUGGAAUCAAGACCCAUAUCAGGUUCCCUGCUUGAUGGGCAGCCUGCGUGUC
Molecule: long non-coding RNA, 1141 nt
Organism: Canis lupus familiaris (dog)
Lineage: Eukaryota; Metazoa; Chordata; Mammalia; Carnivora; Canidae
Exons: 4
Source: RefSeq, a predicted model, not a curated record